Molecule: small nucleolar RNA, 132 nt
Organism: Mustela putorius furo (domestic ferret)
Lineage: Eukaryota; Metazoa; Chordata; Mammalia; Carnivora; Mustelidae
Source: Ensembl
GAACACUUGACUAAAGGUGGCAAAGAAGAAACGUUAAGAGAAAAGACACUUCUGAGGUGCUAAACAGACCUUUGGAGGUAAAUUAGCAGCAUAACUAAGUCAGCCAUUGCUGUCGGUCAUCUUCAGACAAGU